This 828-nucleotide ribosomal RNA is filed under the name Boreochlus sp. SRM-2009. Its description in RNAcentral is "partial 18S ribosomal RNA". It matches the Rfam family "Eukaryotic small subunit ribosomal RNA", at positions 494 to 1269 of the family's 1831-position model. The record is from RNAcentral. Lineage: Eukaryota; Metazoa; Arthropoda; Insecta; Diptera; Chironomidae.
KUWMMSURUGYUHUGUCAAUGGAAWGWSUGAAGUAUAAAUCCUUUCACGAGGAUCCAAUGGAGGGCAAGUCUGAUGCCAGCAGCCGCGGUAAUUUCAGCUCCAUUAGCGUAUACUAAAGUUGUUGCGGUUAAAACGUUCCUAGUCCAUUAUUGUCCGGUACGGGUGCUGCUCCACCAAGUGUGCGCGCWCGCAUUUCCGAUUAUUCGCGACUACUAAGGUCUGAACACAUUAAUGAACGGCGAUGGUGACUCUUCAYUGAGCYGCCGCGUCCGUUUAGUUCAGCUUAUUAUUACCUUGAACAAAUUAAGGUGCUCAAAGCAGGCUUCAUAUGCCUUGAAUAUUUUUGCAUGGAAUAAUGGAAAAGGACCUCGGUCUUAUUCGGCYCGCGCAAGCGRCGUCGAGGUUUCUAUUGGUUUGAUAUAGAUCAUGAGGUAAUGAUUAAUAGAAGCAGUCGGGGGCAUUAGUACUGCGGCGCGAGAGGUGAAAUUCUUAGACCGUCGCAUGACUAACUAAAGCGAAGGCAUUUGCCAAGGAUGUUUUCAUUGAUCAAGAACGAAAGUAGCAGGAUUGAAGACGAUUAGAUACCGUCCUAAUUGCUUUACUGUAAAAAAUGACAGCUAGCAAUUGGGUGUCGCUACUAUUAUGGCGCACUCAGUAGCUUCCGGGAAACCAAAGCUAGUUUCCGGGGGAAGUAUGGUUGCAAAGUUGAAACUUAAAGGAAUUGACGGAAGGGCACCACCAGGAGUGGAGCCUGCGGCUUAAUUUGACUCAACACGGGAAAWCYURCCAGDCGVCUWMYADVUAGDSKAWGAHAGMUHVYYWUCYCK